Molecule: RNA transcript, 2319 nt
Organism: Schistocerca piceifrons (Central American locust)
Lineage: Eukaryota; Metazoa; Arthropoda; Insecta; Orthoptera; Acrididae
Gene: mldr
Gene name: mitochondrial ribonuclease P catalytic subunit
Exons: 10
Source: RefSeq, a predicted model, not a curated record
GCUUUGCAAUGUUGUAAUUGGUCGUCGGACGAUUCAGAAGUGAAGUUUGUUUGUAAACAAACGAAGAGGUGGUGUGUUAAGAAGUAGGACUUGUGGCCUAUAGUACCAAAUGUCAUUGUUUUUGUGGCAAAAGCAAUACAGUUAACGGAAUAUCAUUUCAAAAAUAUAUUCUUAAAGUGUGCUUCCAGUGAUGUCGAAACGAUCAGUGGUAUGGUCAGCAAAGUUGAUCUUGCAGCACUUCAUCCGAAAAAAGCUGUUCACGAGAGAUGUUAGCAGUUUCUUUUCCGGCGCUAGGAAGUGCGUUUAUAUUAGUAGUGCCUGUUAUGUUGAGGGACGCAGAGAAGAAAGUGCUAUCAGCAAUUUUAAUCCAUCACGAGUAACAGCUCAACAAAGUCCACAGGAGCUCCUUAUCCAAAAUGCAGUGAGCAGAGAUGAGCCUUUUACACUGGAGGAGUGGUCGUCAUUAUGCGAGGAAAUACUGGUCAGCAAAGGCAGACUGAAACCUACAACACUGGCCGCAUAUAUAAUGUCACAGUGUGUCAGAUCCAGUAAUCUAAAAGUGGGUCUAUCGUUGCUGACAUACCUGGAAUCCACAGCUUCUGGACCAAACCUUGCGACAUUAAGUGCUUUCUUCAAGCUUUGGCAUGCUUGUGGAGGAAGUUAUGAAGAAAAGGAAGUGUUGUCACGAUAUGACAACUUGAGAAAACAGUAUCCUCUGUUAGAUGCUGCUACAUCUGAAAGUGCUGCAAUGGCACUUUCACGUACUUCGAGGUGGCAAGAUGCUUUUGAACUACUGGAUAUGAUUAAGCUGACGCACCAUCCUAAAUCUGCUGUUUACACUUCCUUGGCUGUUGCUGCAUUUCGUAAUGGAAAUAAUGAACUUGCCCACUCAGUCAUGGAGGAAAUAUUUGAACGGGAUGAUAGACGACCAGGUCCUGAGGCCUAUUUGGCUUGGCUGCAGCACAGUGAUCCAGAAGAACUGUUACAUUUUAUUGCAACCCAUGGAGAAAAGCCUACUGACGAAGUAGUGUGUGCUUUGUCUGAGAAGCUGGAAGCUGACAGAGGAUUUCAAGCAAAUUUUACAACUGUAAACAAGAGGGGCAUUUGCCAGACAUGUAACAAUCAGUUGACACCACAGCUUCCCACACCAACUGAAUAUAAGCAGUUACAGGUGGCAAUGUUGGACCGGGUUUUACUAUCGGAUGAUGUAUUUCUUAAGACAUCACCUAAAGAGGUUGUUCACUUUCAAGACAUGUUAAAGAAGAACAGAACUUGGGAUGUAGUAAUAGAUGGCCUGAAUGUGGCAUUUGCUAGUGGCUCUUCUUCUAGUAGCAGUCAUGCCAAGCUGCUUUUUCUUGUAGUGGAACAGUUCUGGCGGCAAGGGAAAAAAGUGCUUGUACUUGGUCGCAAACACAUGAAAAACUGGCCCAAAAGACAGAUGGAAUCACUUUCUAAUUGUGCUCAGUUGUUUCUAGCUGACAAUUUGAUCCAUUGCCAUUCCACCCAUUUGCUCAGCAUCAUCAUGAUGGUUCAUGGCAUCUGCCUUAUGAGGUCCCAGGCUCAUCCCCAAAUAAGAGAUAUAAUCAUUUGGAAGUCCCAGAACAUUGGUUGUGCCUCUCAAAAGUAUAGGUCUCAACCUGUGCAGUAUCUCAUGCAUGGGUGGCACGAGAGGCUUGUGCUCACCCUUCUUCUUACUUCCUUUUGCCGAUACCUGCAUCAGUGCAUCUGAAGAACCCUGAAAUGGUCAUAGGUGUUAAACAUGAACCAGUGCCAUUCUACAAGGUGUACAACUUUGCUUCUGUCGUUUGCUGAUAAGUGGCGACAAUGGGAAGUUUUCUAAACAUAUAAGAAACUCAUGUAGAGGAAAGAAGGGAAAAGUAGCCAGGGCAGCUCAAAUGACCACUGCAGAUUUUUUGCCAUGAACAAUGUUGCUGCCUACUGCGGAGCGGUCAAACCAAUUCUAAUAGACAUCAACAUUGUCAGUGAAUUUGGCAAAGGACGUAAGCUCCUCUAUUUUUCAAUAAAAAAAUUUCUGAUUUUCGUCAUCUAAUGUAAGCUUCUUCCUCAUCUGGCAAGUGACCAAAAGGUUCAGAAGAGAUUGAUGCAACACUUGUCAAAAUGACACGAGAAUCACUGCUUGAUGUCAGCACAAGCUGAUCGUGGAAAUGAUUGUAUCUUAUACUCCACACCCUGAAGAAAUAAGUUGUAUCUGUCACUAACAAUUAAAACAUAUGAAAUCAUUUGCUGCAAAUUUCUUUUAUGGGUUGCUGUUACACUUGAAUUGGAAUGUACAAGUAAAUAAAAUUUGUUUCCUGCAUA